RNAcentral lists this ribosomal RNA (440 nucleotides) under uncultured bacterium. RNAcentral's name for it is "partial 16S ribosomal RNA". It matches the Rfam family "Bacterial small subunit ribosomal RNA", at positions 338 to 795 of the family's 1533-position model. The record is from RNAcentral.
CCUACGGGAGGCAGCAGUGGGGAAUAUUGCACAAUGGGGGAAACCCUGAUGCAGCGACGCCGCGUGAGUGAAGAAGUAUUUCGGUACGUAAAGCUCUAUCAGCAGGGAAGAAAAUGCCGGUACCUGACUAAGAAGCCCCGGCUAACUACGUGCCAGCAGCCGCGGUAAUACGUAGGGGGCAAGCGUUAUCCGGAUUUACUGGAUGUAAAGGGAGCGUAGACGGCAGCGCAAGUCUGGAGUGAAAUCCCAUGGCUUAACCAUGGAACUGCUUUGGAAACUGUGCAGCUAGAGUGCAGGAGAGGUAAGCGGAAUGCGUAGUGUAGCGGUGAAAUGCGUAGAUAUUAGGAGGAACACCAGUUGCGAAGGCGGCUUACUGGACUGUAACUGACGUUGAGGCUCGAAAGCGUGGGGAGCAAACAGGAUUAGAUACCCUGGUAGUC